GCACUCACUUCAGCAGCACAUAUACUAAAAUUGGAGUGAUACAUGGAAGAUUAGCAUGGCCCCUGUGCAAGGAUGACAUGCAAAUUCAUGAAGCAUUCCAUAUUUUU
RNAcentral lists this small nuclear RNA (107 nucleotides) under Pan paniscus (pygmy chimpanzee). The record is from RNAcentral. Lineage: Eukaryota; Metazoa; Chordata; Mammalia; Primates; Hominidae.